RNAcentral lists this ribosomal RNA (455 nucleotides) under uncultured bacterium. RNAcentral describes it as "bacterial SSU rRNA". It matches the Rfam family "Bacterial small subunit ribosomal RNA", at positions 340 to 786 of the family's 1533-position model. The record is from RNAcentral.
UACGGAAGGCAGCAGGGGGAAUAUUGCACAAUGGGCGAAAGCCUGAUGCAGCUAUGCCGCGUGUAUGAAGAAGGCCUUAGGGUUGUAAAGUACUUUCAUCGGGGAGGAAAAACAAAACUAAUAAUUUUAUUUCUUGACGUUACCCGAAAAAGAAGCACCGGCUAACUCCGUGCCAGCAGCCGCGGUAAUACGGAGGGUGCUAGCGUUAAUCAGAAUUACUGGGCGUAAAGAGCACGUAGGUGGUUUUUUUAAGUCAGAUGUGAAAUCCCUGGGCUUAACCUAGGAACUGCAUUUUGAAACUGAAAUACUAGAGUAUCGUAGAGGGAGGUAGAAUUCUAGGUGUAGCGGUGAAAUGCGUAGAUAUCUGGAGGAAUCCUGUGGCGAAAGCGGCCUCCUAAACGAAUACUGACACUGAGGGUGCGAAAGCGUGGGGAGCAAACGAGGGAUUAGAUACC